Molecule: ribosomal RNA, 315 nt
Filed under: uncultured bacterium
Lineage: Bacteria
Description: bacterial SSU rRNA
Rfam family: Bacterial small subunit ribosomal RNA
Source: RNAcentral
AACGAACGCUGGCGGCGUGGAUAAGACAUGCAAGUCGAACGGGACAACAUUUGUAGCAAUACCGAUGUUGUUUAGUGGCGAACGGGUGCGUAACACGUGGGCAAUCUGCCGAGAAGUGGGGGAUAGCUCGCCGAAAGGACGAAUUAAUACCGCAUAUGAUCAGAGGAGACAUUUCUUCGACAUCAAAGCCGGGGCGAACCUGGCGCUUUUGUAGGAGCCCGCCGGCCUAUCAGCUAGUUGGUGAGGUAACGGCUCACCAAGGCUUUGACGGGUAGCUGGUCUGAGAGGACGACCGGUCACACUGGAACUGAGACA